Molecule: ribosomal RNA, 240 nt
Filed under: uncultured Pseudomonadota bacterium
Lineage: Bacteria; Pseudomonadati; Pseudomonadota
Description: uncultured proteobacterium partial 16S ribosomal RNA
Rfam family: Bacterial small subunit ribosomal RNA
Source: RNAcentral
UUGGGUUUAAAGUGUGCGCAGGCGGUUGGGUAAGACAGAUGUGAAAUCCCCGGGCUCAACCUGGGAAUUGCAUUUGUGACUGCCCGACUAGAGUGCGGCAGAGGGGAGUGGAAUUCCGCGUGUAGCAGUGAAAUGCGUAGAUAUGCGGAGGAACACCGAUGGCGAAGGCAACUCCCUGGGGCCUGCACUGACGCUCAUGCACGAAAGCGUGGGGAGCAAACAGGAUUAGAUACCCUAGUA